UCCAGACUCCUACGGGAGGCAGCAGUGAGGAAUAUUGGUCAAUGGCCGGAAGGCUGAACCAGCCAAGCCGCGUGAAGGACGAAGGUGCCAAGCAUUGUAAACUUCUUUUGUCAAGGGACAAAAUCAGGCUCGAGAGCCUGACCGAGGGUACUUGAAGAAAAAGCAUCGGCUAACUCCGUGCCAGCAGCCGCGGUAAUACGGAGGAUGCGAGCGUUAUCCGGAUUUAUUGGGUUUAAAGGGUGCGUAGGCGGGAUGCCAAGUCGGCGGUCAAAUGCGGGGGCUCAACCUGCGUCCGCCGUUGAAACUGGCGUUCUUGAGUGGGCGAGAAGUACGCGGAAUGCGUGGUGUAGCGGUGAAAUGCUUAGAGAUCAUACAGAACACCGAUUGCGAAGGCAGCUUACCAAUCUAUAUCUGACGUUGAGGCACGAAAGCGUGGGGAGCAAACAGGAUUAGAUACCCGAGUA
This 464-nucleotide ribosomal RNA is filed under the name uncultured bacterium. Its description in RNAcentral is "bacterial SSU rRNA". It matches the Rfam family "Bacterial small subunit ribosomal RNA", at positions 330 to 792 of the family's 1533-position model. The record is from RNAcentral.